UUUCUCUCUCGUCGUCGUGAUCUCAAGGGAGAAAGACCAAGGAUCCUAGACGCGAUGAACGCAGAGCUCAAUUGAAUCUGCUCUUGGGUCGAGUUGUAUUGUAGAGAUGCUUGGGUCGGCCCCGUCUAAGUGCUCUGGACGGGCAUGGAGAGGGUGAAAAUCCCGUCUGGAUGGGGUGUCCGCGUCCAUGUGAAGCUCCUCGACGAGUCGAGUUGUUUGGGAAUGCAGCUCUAAAUGGGUGGUAAAUUUCAUCUAAAGCUAAAUACUGGCCGGAGACCGAUAGCGCACAAGUAGAGUGAUCGAAAGAUGAAAAGCACUUUGAAAAGAGAGUUAAACAGCACGUGAAAUUGUUGAAAGGGAAGCGCUUGCGACCAGACUCGCUUCCGGGGUUCAGCCGGCUUUCGGGCCGGUGUACUUCCCCGGGGGCGGGCCAGCGUCGGUUUGGGCGGCCGGUCAAAGGCCCCUGGAAUGUAACGCCUCUCGGGGCGCCUUAUAGUCAGGGGUGUCAUGCGGCCAGCCUGGACCGAGGAACGCGCUUCGGCACGGACGCUGGCAUAAUGGUCGUAAACGACCCGUCUUGAAACACGGACCAAGGAGUCUAACAUCUACGCGAGUGUUCGGGUGUCAAACCCGUGCGCGCAGUGAAAGCGAACGGAGGUGGGAGCCCCCUCGAGGGGCGCACCAUCGACCGAUCCUGAUGUCUUCGGAUGGAUUUGAGUAAGAGCGUAGCUGUGGGGACCCGAAAGAUGGUGAACUAUGCCUGAAUAGGGCGAAGCCAGAGGAAACUCUGGUGGAGGCUCGCAGCGGUUCUGACGUGCAAAUCGAUCGUCAACAUUUGGGUAUAGUGGGCGAAAUGACUAAUCGUUCAUACUCCGUGAUCCCU
RNAcentral lists this ribosomal RNA (883 nucleotides) under Aspergillus ruber. RNAcentral describes it as "eukaryotic LSU rRNA". It matches the Rfam family "Eukaryotic large subunit ribosomal RNA", at positions 1 to 960 of the family's 3401-position model. Lineage: Eukaryota; Fungi; Ascomycota; Eurotiomycetes; Eurotiales; Aspergillaceae. The record is from RNAcentral.